AAUAAAUAAAUAAAUAAAAAUAAUAAUAAAAAAAUAAUUAAAAUAUAAUAGAAAAAACUUGGACUUGGACCUCUCUCAUUUGAGCCCAUAAAGCCAUGAAAAUCAGGUUAUAAAAGAGGGAGAUCAGACAGAAAAAGGAAGAGAAGCAAAAUACUCUGAGGUUUCCCUGAAACAAAACCCUGGACAAAACCUACAGAGGAACCUGACAGAGAACUCAGAGCAAACCCCCAUCUCACGCAACCCUAACAUUUC
This 252-nucleotide long non-coding RNA is filed under the name Lathyrus oleraceus (garden pea). RNAcentral's name for it is "Pisum sativum (pea) long non-coding RNA (PSAT_LNC034567)". Lineage: Eukaryota; Viridiplantae; Streptophyta; Magnoliopsida; Fabales; Fabaceae. The record is from RNAcentral.